AGAGUUUGAUCAUGGCUCAGAUUGAACGCUGGCGGCAGGCCUAACACAUGCAAGUCGAGCGGUAGCACAGAGAGCUUGCUCUCGGGUGACGAGCGGCGGACGGGUGAGUAAUGUCUGGGAAACUGCCUGAUGGAGGGGGAUAACUACUGGAAACGGUAGCUAAUACCGCAUAACGUCGCAAGACCAAAGUGGGGGACCUUCGGGCCUCAUGCCAUCAGAUGUGCCCAGAUGGGAUUAGCUAGUAGGUGAGGUAACGGCUCACCUAGGCGACGAUCCCUAGCUGGUCUGAGAGGAUGACCAGCCACACUGGAACUGAGACACGGUCCAGACUCCUACGGGAGGCAGCAGUGGGGAAUAUUGCACAAUGGGCGCAAGCCUGAUGCAGCCAUGCCGCGUGUGUGAAGAAGGCCUUCGGGUUGUAAAGCACUUUCAGCGGGGAGGAAGGCGAUAAGGUUAAUAACCUCAUCGAUUGACGUUACCCGCAGAAGAAGCACCGGCUAACUCCGUGCCAGCAGCCGCGGUAAUACGGAGGGUGCAAGCGUUAAUCGGAAUUACUGGGCGUAAAGCGCACGCAGGCGGUCUGUCAAGUCGGAUGUGAAAUCCCCGGGCUCAACCUGGGAACUGCAUUCGAAACUGGCAGGCUAGAGUCUUGUAGAGGGGGGUAGAAUUCCAGGUGUAGCGGUGAAAUGCGUAGAGAUCUGGAGGAAUACCGGUGGCGAAGGCGGCCCCCUGGACAAAGACUGACGCUCAGGUGCGAAAGCGUGGGGAGCAAACAGGAUUAGAUACCCUGGUAGUCCACGCCGUAAACGAUGUCGAUUUGGAGGUUGUGCCCUUGAGGCGUGGCUUCCGGAGCUAACGCGUUAAAUCGACCGCCUGGGGAGUACGGCCGCAAGGUUAAAACUCAAAUGAAUUGACGGGGGCCCGCACAAGCGGUGGAGCAUGUGGUUUAAUUCGAUGCAACGCGAAGAACCUUACCUGGUCUUGACAUCCACAGAACUUAGCAGAGAUGCUUUGGUGCCUUCGGGAACUGUGAGACAGGUGCUGCAUGGCUGUCGUCAGCUCGUGUUGUGAAAUGUUGGGUUAAGUCCCGCAACGAGCGCAACCCUUAUCCUUUGUUGCCAGCGGUUAGGCCGGGAACUCAAAGGAGACUGCCAGUGAUAAACUGGAGGAAGGUGGGGAUGACGUCAAGUCAUCAUGGCCCUUACGACCAGGGCUACACACGUGCUACAAUGGCAUAUACAAAGAGAAGCGACCUCGCGAGAGCAAGCGGACCUCAUAAAGUAUGUCGUAGUCCGGAUUGGAGUCUGCAACUCGACUCCAUGAAGUCGGAAUCGCUAGUAAUCGUAGAUCAGAAUGCUACGGUGAAUACGUUCCCGGGCCUUGUACACACCGCCCGUCACACCAUGGGAGUGGGUUGCAAAAGAAGUAGGUAGCUUAACCUUCGGGAGGGCGCUUACCACUUUGUGAUUCAUGACUGGGGUGAAGUCGUAACAAGGUAACCGUAGGGGAACCUGCGGUUGGAUCACCU
Molecule: ribosomal RNA, 1528 nt
Filed under: Klebsiella pneumoniae
Lineage: Bacteria; Pseudomonadati; Pseudomonadota; Gammaproteobacteria; Enterobacterales; Enterobacteriaceae
Description: bacterial SSU rRNA
Rfam family: Bacterial small subunit ribosomal RNA
Source: RNAcentral